GCCACUGGAGGGGAAAGACGAGGUGCUUUCGAAUGCCAAGAGGGUCUCAGAGCUCCUCAGCCCUCCCCCGACUCUCCUGUUCAUCUCACCAAUACAUACCUGAUGAAGACAGGGCCAACUGGAUGGAGGAAAAGGAAAACAAAACAAAACAGGUCAAACAACAAAAGAGAGUCACAGACCCCGGGCAACAGAGCAGCUUCACCAAUCUGCCCAGCAGCUGGGCAGCUCCGGCGGGGUACUUUGGCCCCGGACCUCACCGGGAGGAAUCUGCAGCCUCUCCCAGUGCCCAAGCCGCCUCCUCCUCCUCCUGACAAGACACCUCGUCUGCACAGACGUGAUUCCCCCCCAGCGAAGACACCAGGCCUCCCCUGCGUGCGUGCGUGUGUGUGUGUGUGUGUGCCUGGUUGGGGCGGGCAGAUGCCCUCGGGUCACCGGAACGACGGGCCCCGCUCCCCCAUCACUAAGCGGAGCCUCGCCGCCGCACCCCCCCCCGCGCCCCCGACUCGGAUCCUCACCAAUACAGGUGGCCGCACACGCUGACCACA
Molecule: long non-coding RNA, 545 nt
Organism: Mesocricetus auratus (golden hamster)
Lineage: Eukaryota; Metazoa; Chordata; Mammalia; Rodentia; Cricetidae
Exons: 2
Source: RefSeq, a predicted model, not a curated record